Molecule: ribosomal RNA, 468 nt
Filed under: uncultured bacterium
Lineage: Bacteria
Description: partial 16S ribosomal RNA
Rfam family: Bacterial small subunit ribosomal RNA
Source: RNAcentral
GACGAACGCUGGCGGCGUGCCUAACACAUGCAAGUCGAACGGAAAGGCCCUGCGUUUGCGGGGUGCUCGAGUGGCGAACGGGGGUGUAACACGUGAGUAACCUGCCCUUAACUGUGGGAGAACUUCAGGGAACUGGGGCUAAUACCGGGGAGGAGCUCCUGCUGCAUGUGGGGGGUUGGAAAGUGUCGGCGGUUGGGGAUGGACUCGCGGCUUAUCAGCUUGUUUGUGGGGUAGUGGCUUACCAAGGCUUUGACGGGUAGCCGGCGUGAGAGGGUGACCGGCCACAUUGGGACUGAGAUACGGCCCAGACUCCUACGGGAGGCAGCAGUGGGGAAUAUUGCACAAUGGGCGGAAGCCUGAUGCAGCAACGCCGCGUGCGGGAUGACGGCCUUCGGGUUGUAAACCGCUUUCGCCUGUGACGAAGAGUGAGUGACGGUAAUGGGUAAAGAAGCACCGGCUAACUACGUG